CAUUAUUGACAAUGAAUUGUUACCUCCAGUGCUGGCUUCAUUGCAUGUGCACGUUGGUGGCUUUCAUCCUUAACACCCUGUGAACCUUUGGCCUUAUGCUGGUUUCGGCUAGCUGAGGAUUUAUUUACACAAACUUGAAUGUAAUGAAAGACCCUGUUGUGCGUAAGCACUAGUUAAACAACUUUCAACAACGGAUCUCUUGGCUCUCGCAUCGAUGAAGAACGCAGCGAAAUGCGAUAAGUAAUGUGAAUUGCAGAAUUCAGUGAAUCAUCGAAUCUUUGAACGCACCUUGCACCCUUUGGUAUUCCGAAGGGUAUGCUCGUUUGAGUGUCAUUGUAAUCUCACACUCACAAAUCCUGUUGGAUUAAGGGAGUGGUGGACUUGGGUGUUGCUGCGUUACUGUGGCUCAUCUUAAAUGGAGUAGUGCAACUCUUGGUUGGACAUAGAACAGCGUGAUAAGUAUCUUCGCUGGCUCCUCACUCGCAAGAGAGAGGGUGUGCGAUCGGGAGCUCUGUGCUUCAAACUACACUGUCUUUGGACAAUAUUUGACAACUUGACCUCAAAUCGAGUAGGACUACCCGCUGAACUUAA
RNAcentral lists this ribosomal RNA (591 nucleotides) under uncultured Sebacinaceae. RNAcentral's name for it is "eukaryotic LSU rRNA". The stretch from base 180 to 333 matches the Rfam family "5.8S ribosomal RNA". The record is from RNAcentral. Lineage: Eukaryota; Fungi; Basidiomycota; Agaricomycetes; Sebacinales; Sebacinaceae.